AAAUGAAUUGACGGGGACCCGCACAAGCAGCGGAGCAUGUGGUUUAAUUCGAAGCAACGCGAAGAACCUUACCAGGACUUGACAUCCCUCUGACAGGACCUUAACCGGUUCCUUCUACGGACAGAGGAGACAGGUGGUGCAUGGUUGUCGUCAGCUCGUGUCGUGAGAUGUUGGGUUAAGUCCCGCAACGAGCGCAACCCUUGCCAAUAGUUGCCAUCAUUAAGUUGGGCACUCUAUUGGGACUGCCGGGGACAACUCGGAGGAAGGUGGGGAUGACGUCAAAUCAUCAUGCCCCUUAUGUUCUGGGCUACACACGUGCUACAAUGGCCGGUACAGAAAGAAGCGAAGUCGUGAGGCGGAGCAAAUCUCCAAAACCGGUCCCAGUUCGGACUGCAGGCUGCAACUCGCCUGCACGAAGUCGGAGUUGCUAGUAAUCGUGGAUCAGAAUGCCACGGUGAAUGCGUUCCCGGGUCUUGUACACACCGCCCGU
RNAcentral lists this ribosomal RNA (490 nucleotides) under uncultured bacterium. RNAcentral describes it as "bacterial SSU rRNA". It matches the Rfam family "Bacterial small subunit ribosomal RNA", at positions 903 to 1397 of the family's 1533-position model. The record is from RNAcentral.